Molecule: long non-coding RNA, 397 nt
Organism: Brienomyrus brachyistius
Lineage: Eukaryota; Metazoa; Chordata; Actinopteri; Osteoglossiformes; Mormyridae
Exons: 3
Source: RefSeq, a predicted model, not a curated record
GACAGCCCGUUUCCAGACCCGCACAUAACAGAUGGGUGUGUGUAUGUGUGUGCAUAUAUGUAUAGUUUUAUUUAUUAUUUUUGAGAGGGUUUAAAGGCAGUGAUAUACAUUGUCUUAAAAGGUAACAGCACGGGUCAGUACCUGUCCAGCCUUGUACCAUGUGUCAUCUCCCUGUUUGGCCAGCAAUUCUCGCCGGCCAUCCUGGUUGGUGUUACCCUGGUGUGUUUCCCUGCUCCCUGGGCUGCCAUGUGACUUAACAGGCUAUGGAAAGUAUAAAAACAGCUCCUCUCACCGAGCAGAAGUGAACAGGCUUCCAUUGACGGCGCCGAAGCAGGACAACCCCACAAAGACAGGGAUGAGCCAAGACAUGACGCCGAGGUGAUAUUCGCCAAAGAUC